ACAAUGGGCGAAAGCCUGAUCCAGCCAUGCCGCGUGUGUGAAGAAGGUCUUCGGAUUGUAAAGCACUUUAAGUUGGGAGGAAGGGCUGUAGGUUAAUACCUUGCAGUUUUGACGUUACCGACAGAAUAAGCACCGGCUAACUCU
RNAcentral lists this ribosomal RNA (144 nucleotides) under Pseudomonadaceae bacterium. RNAcentral describes it as "partial 16S ribosomal RNA". It matches the Rfam family "Bacterial small subunit ribosomal RNA", at positions 368 to 504 of the family's 1533-position model. The record is from RNAcentral. Lineage: Bacteria; Pseudomonadati; Pseudomonadota; Gammaproteobacteria; Pseudomonadales; Pseudomonadaceae.